RNAcentral lists this ribosomal RNA (268 nucleotides) under uncultured bacterium. RNAcentral describes it as "partial 16S ribosomal RNA". It matches the Rfam family "Bacterial small subunit ribosomal RNA", at positions 89 to 354 of the family's 1533-position model. The record is from RNAcentral.
UGGCGACCGGCGCACGGGUGAGUAACGCGUAUCCAACCUGCCCUUUACUAUGGGACAGCCCGUCGAAAGGCGGUAUUAAUACCGUAUGUUGUCAUGUUGAUGCAUAUUUUCAUGACCAAAGGCUUCGGCCGGUAAAGGAUGGGGAUGCGUCUGAUUAGCCUGCCGGCGGGGUAACGGCCCACCGGGGCGACGAUCAGUAGGGGUUCUGAGAGGAAGGUCCCCCACAUUGGAACUGAGACACGGUCCAAACUCCUACGGAAGGCAGCAG